CCUACGGGAGGCAGCAGUGAGGAAUAUUGGUCAAUGGACGAGAGUCUGAACCAGCCAAGUAGCGUGAAGGAUGACUGCCCUAUGGGUUGUAAACUUCUUUUAUAUGGGAAUAAAAUGUUACACGUGUGGGAUUUUGUAUGUACCAUAUGAAUAAGGAUCGGCUAACUCCGUGCCAGCAGCCGCGGUAAUACGGAGGAUCCGAGCGUUAUCCGGAUUUAUUGGGUUUAAAGGGAGCGUAGGUGGAUUGUUAAGUCAGUUGUGAAAGUUUGCGACUCAACCGUAAAAUUGCAGUUGAAACUGGCAGUCUUGAGUACAGUAGAGGUAGGCGGAAUGCGUGGUGUAGCGGUGAAAUGCUUAGAUAUCACGAAGAACUCCGAUUGCGAAGGCAGUUCACUGGACUGCAACUGACACUGAGGCUCGAAAGUGUGGGUAUCAAACAGGAUUAGAUACCCGGGUAGUC
This 460-nucleotide ribosomal RNA is filed under the name uncultured bacterium. RNAcentral's name for it is "partial 16S ribosomal RNA". It matches the Rfam family "Bacterial small subunit ribosomal RNA", at positions 338 to 795 of the family's 1533-position model. The record is from RNAcentral.